Long non-coding RNA from Bolinopsis microptera, 345 nucleotides. RefSeq lists it as uncharacterized. Lineage: Eukaryota; Metazoa; Ctenophora; Tentaculata; Lobata; Bolinopsidae. The transcript has 3 exons. The record is from RefSeq and is a predicted model, not a curated record.
ACAUGAAGCGAUGAAUACCCCAAAAUGAUGCAAUCUGAGUGACCACCAAUGUAACUGAUCUGAACCCACAUACCCUUGUUCCGAUGAUAGCUGACCUCUUAAACAGAAGAUCCCUCGGAUCACUCACUUCCCUCCAAGAAGACUCUUUAUCAAAUUUUAACGAUGCCUUUACCAUAUAUGGGCAUCCGAAAGUCAAAGGAGUCAUAAAAGCUUUCGAGCUGCUACAAGUUAUACAGCUGCCAGACUACAGAACAGCCCUGAAACUCAGAGCUAUCCAGCGGAAAAUGCAAUUACACAGGGUAGAUGCUAGAGACAUAGUAGCAGUGAUGGGAGACACAGGACUAC